Molecule: ribosomal RNA, 553 nt
Filed under: uncultured Clostridium sp.
Lineage: Bacteria; Bacillati; Bacillota; Clostridia; Eubacteriales; Clostridiaceae
Description: bacterial SSU rRNA
Rfam family: Bacterial small subunit ribosomal RNA
Source: RNAcentral
AACGCUGGCGGCGUGCCUCAUACAUGCAAGUCGGACGGAUUUAAUGAUGUAGCAAUAUAUUGUUAGAUUAGUGGCGAACGGGUGAGUAACACGUAGCUAACCUGCCCUAAAGUCUGGGAUAACAUACCGAAAGGGAUGCUAAUACCGGAUAAGACAAGAUGCCGCAUGGCAUCAGGUUAAAAGAUGGCCUCUGUUUACAAGCCGCGCUUAAGGAUGGGGCUGCGGUCCAUUAGGUAGUUGGUGUGGUAAUGGCGCACCAAGCCGACGAUGGAUAGCCGGGCUGAGAGGCUGGACGGCCACAAUGGAACUGAGACACGGUCCAUACUCCUACGGGAGGCAGCAGUAGGGAAUAUUCCGCAAUGGGCGAAAGCCUGACGGAGCGACGCCGCGUGAAUGAAGAAAUCUUUCGGGAUGUAAAGUUCAAUCGACCAGGGAAGAAUGGUUUUCAUAUUAAUAAUAUGAGAGCAGGGACGGUACCUGGAAUGAAGCCACGGCUAAUUACGUGCCAGCAGCCGCGGUAAUACGUAAGUGGCAAGCGUUAUCCGGAAUCACU